AGUGAACGCUGGCGGUAGGCCUAACACAUGCAAGUCGAACGGCAGCACAGUAAGAGCUUGCUCUUACGGGUGGCGGGUGGCGGACGGGUGAGGAAUACAUCGGAAUCUACUUUUUCGUGGGGGAUAACGUAGGGAAACUUACGCUAAUACCGCAUACGACCUACGGGUGAAAGCAGGGGAUCUUCGGACCUUGCGCGAUUGAAUGAGCCGAUGUCGGAUUAGCUAGUUGGCGGGGUAAAGGCCCACCAAGGCGACGAUCCGUAGCUGGUCUGAGAGGAUGAUCAGCCACACUGGAACUGAGACACGGUCCAGACUCCUACGGGGGGCAGCAGUGGGGAAUAUUGGACAAUGGGCGCAAGCCUGAUCCAGCCAUACCGCGUGGGUGAAGAAGGCCUUCGGGUUGUAAAGCCCUUUUGUUGGGAAAGAAAAGCAGCAGGUUAAUACCCCGCUGUUCUGACGGUACCCAAAGAAUAAGCACCGGCUAACUUCGUG
RNAcentral lists this ribosomal RNA (492 nucleotides) under uncultured bacterium. Its description in RNAcentral is "partial 16S ribosomal RNA". It matches the Rfam family "Bacterial small subunit ribosomal RNA", at positions 29 to 507 of the family's 1533-position model. The record is from RNAcentral.